GAUGAACGCUGGCGGCGUGCCUAAUACAUGCAAGUCGAGCGAACAGACGAGGAGCUUGCUCCUCUGACGUUAGCGGCGGACGGGUGAGUAACACGUGGAUAACCUACCUAUAAGACUGGGAUAACUUCGGGCAACCGGAGCUAAUACCGGAUAAUAUAUUGAACCGCAUGGUUCAAUAGUGAAAGACGGUUUUGCUGUCACUUAUAGAUGGAUCCGCGCCGCAUUAGCUAGUUGGUAAGGUAACGGCUUACCAAGGCAACGAUGCGUAGCCGACCUGAGAGGGUGAUCGGCCACACUGGAACUGAGACACGGUCCAGACUCCUACGGGAGGCAGCAGUAGGGAAUCUUCCGCAAGGGGCGAAAGCCUGACGGAGCAACGCCGAGUGAGUGAUGAAGGUCUUCGGAUCGUAAAACUCUGUUAUUAGGGAAGAACAAAUGUGUAAGUAACUAUGCACGUCUUGACGGUACCUAAUCAGAAAGCCACGGCUAACUACGUG
This 497-nucleotide ribosomal RNA is filed under the name uncultured bacterium. RNAcentral's name for it is "partial 16S ribosomal RNA". It matches the Rfam family "Bacterial small subunit ribosomal RNA", at positions 28 to 507 of the family's 1533-position model. The record is from RNAcentral.